ACAACUCAGCAGUUUAGUUCUUUGGCAUAGAGAGGAAAGAAACGGCUUCCUCUUAAUCUCAGUUCUAGAAUUUCUUUCAUCGUCAACGAAGCUUUCGAGGUACGUGCUUUCUCGUUCUAAUCUCUAUUUCUGAUUACAAAAUGUACACCAUGGAAGCCGGUCAUGAACUUUCGCCGAAGGGGCGAUGCUGGAAUGAGCUUAAGAGUGGAGGGAUGCUCAAGUGGGGUAAGAGGAUGAAUGUUCAGUUCCAGAGAAAUUAUGAGCAGGAGAAAUUAGAUGGUGAUAAUCCGACUCAGGAUCCUGUUUGUGAUAUGCUCAAGGAAGCCAUGGGCAGAAUGGAAAGGAAUACGCAGGAGCUCUUGUUAAAAAAGCAAGAGGAUGAUGUUGCUGUUGUGAACAGUCCAAGUUCUUGUGUUACGAGUCAGAACUUUGAUGAUGACAACUUCUUGCUUCCAUUGAAGAAAAAUGAUUAACUAGUGAACAGUGGAUUUGAUCCCGAGAGUGUUGUUUAUCUAACUCUUGAAGUGUUGGAUUGUUUUGUUUCGGCAGGAGAUGUAUACAGAUCUGAUGAAUAAGAAAGCUAAGAUUGAGGAACAAAUGAUGGAAGUUUCACAUUCUCUUAACUUUGAUGAUGACAACUUCUUGCUUCCAUUGAAGGAGAUGUAUACAGAUUUGAUGAAUAAGAAAGCUAAGAUUGAGGAACAAAUGAUGGAAGUUUCACAUUCUCUUUGCGCAAUGGAGGUUCUAAUGGAGAAGCUAAAAUCAUCAGUGGAGAAAACAAUCGAAACAGAAUCAAUUUGCAGUAACGGGGUUGAACAUUUAGUAUCAUCCUCAUCAUCAUCAUCACCCUGUUUCCCUGGAAACCAUAGAAGAUGUUAAUUUAGGGACUGAGGGUGAGGGACACUAAUUUUCUCUUUGGCAUCAUGCUUUGAUUUGCAGGUUCCUUAUGAUGGCUUUCUGUGCUUAUUCUGCUUCUGGAUGGCACUCCACAGAUCAUCAUUCUUGGCACAAUCAUUGGGAUCAAGCCAGGAGAAAAGAAAUUGAUAAUCUGGCAACCAAUAUAAGUGCUCCAAUGGAAGUAGAAGAUUUGGUGAAGGUGAUGUUCGAGGAAUCGCCUAUGAAUGCAGUACCUGAGGCAGAGGAAAUCCAACUAUUGUCAUCAAUAUCAGAGGAAGAAAAAAGUGAUGAAGUGGGCAUAGUUGGAGAAAAAGGGUGAGGAAGGCAUGUCUUAAACUUUGCACUUGGCCAAGAUAUUAGAAGGGAAACAUAGCUGCUGUGUAGCACCUAUGAUGCAAUUUCCCUCCUAACAAUAUUCUCAGAUUAUUGUUAUUUAAGUCCAUUCUUCUGAAGGUAGUCAAAUGGGAUUGUCGAUCUCAGAAACAGUUGCUGUUAUGUAAAUGUUUCUUACAAGAACAAAAAGAAGAAAAGAAGGAAAAAAAAAAAAAAAAUCAAUUAGCCUGCUAGAAGCUCUGCUGGCUUGGGAUAAUAAUCGGCAGAAUAUGUAAAGUACUGAUCAUCAGAGGAAAAAGAUGAAGUCGUCGGGGUUGAGAUUAUACUGCUCUUUCUUCUCAUCAGAUUUUUAAGGAAUAACUUAUGCCGGAAAUUACAUUCCAAUUUCAUGGGAGAUGUGGCGACUGCAACCAUCAGACAGCUGGGCCCUGGCUAGGAGAAUGAUGGCAAACUAAAGCUAAACACCAGAUUGCACAGGGCCAAAUAAAAAAUGCCAUAAAAACAUUUACACAUCUGCUUGCUGUUCUCCAAGUUCUUAUGACAAGCUUGGUUGCUGGGAAGAAUCAUCUUAAACAAGUGCGUGAUUUAGCAUAUGAAAUAGAGGAUGCAAUUGAAGAGUUUAUGCUUGAGGUACCUGAUCACUUUCAUGAACAUAAGAUCUCUCAAUUUCUUCAUGAUUUGGCUCACUCUGUAAAUGACAAGAAACCCUUCGCGUCGGUUCUCUCGCAUGGAGACUAUCAAAGCCAAGAUAAAAGAUAUUUUUAGAUGCUUUUCUCAUACUUCCCCCUGAACAUGCCUUGAAUAGUUCUGGCACAGUUCGUUAUCCCGAAGCCAUGGUUGAUGAAUUAGUAGGCAUUGAGAAAUGUAGAAAUGAGCUUCUUGAUCUCAUAAAAAUGGGAGAACAUGGGAAGAUGCUGGUUUCCAGUGGUUGGACUUCGUGGCUCAGGUAAAAUCACUCUCAUCACGGAAGUUUAUAGAAAGUUGAAGGAAGAUUUUGAGUGUCAUGCCUUGCUUUCAGUUCCUCACCCUGUGCCUGUGGAGGGCAUAUCAGAUAAGAUUUGUGCAGCAAUGGAGAUACUUACAGCGAAAGAGGUACGUUAUUUUUGUAGAUGGAAUUGGGAGCAAUGAUGAGUGGAAUCAUAUUCAGUGUGCUCUACCUGAUGGUCGCCCUGGUAGUAGGACAAUUAUUUCCACACAUAAAGGUGAUGUAGCUUCUUAUUGUGCAAAGCCUUGGAAUCACAUUUACUUUCUCGAAGCUCUAACAUGGGAUGAGGGAUGGGAACUUUCCAUCAUAAGGCCUUCCGAGGAAAUAAAUGCCCUGAACGCUUGGUUGGCUGUUCUGAGUGUAUCUUCACAAGAUGUGAACGAUUGCCAUUAGCAUUAGUUGCUGCAGCCAGCCUUUUGUCAAAUAAGCGGGCAAACUACCUCAGAAUUUGAGAAAUUGCAUAAUAGCUUAGGUCAUGAGCUAGGAAGCAGUGACCAUUUAUCAGUCCUGCAAAAGAUAUUACAACAAAGUUACUUCCAUCUUUCCUAUAAUCUCAGAUGCUGCUUCUUGUAACUUUGCAAUUUCCCAGAGGAUCGUUCUGUUUCAUGAGGAAGAUUGGCUCACUUGUGGAUAGCUGAACAGUUUGUUGAGGAGAGAAGAACAAGACAGCGGAGGAUAUGAUCAAUGAAUACCUCAAUGUCAUUCAAAUUAACCUAGUUCAUGCAAGUCAAAGGGAUCUUCAAGGGCGAGUAAGAAGUUGCUGG
Pistacia vera is the source of this 2979-nucleotide RNA transcript. RefSeq lists it as uncharacterized. The transcript is spliced from 7 exons. The record is from RefSeq and is a predicted model, not a curated record. Lineage: Eukaryota; Viridiplantae; Streptophyta; Magnoliopsida; Sapindales; Anacardiaceae.